GUGUCAGCCGCCGCGGUAAGACGGAGGGGGCAAGCGUUGUCCGGAAUUACUGGGCGUAAAGCGCUCGUAGGCGGUCGCAUACGGCGAUGGUGAAAGCUCCCGGCUCAACUGGGAGAGGCCCGUCGCAACGGUGUGACUCGAGGGUGGUAGAGGCAGAUGGAAUUCCUGGUGUAGCGGUGAAAUGCGUAGAGAUCAGGAGGAACACCCGUGGCGAAGGCGGUCUGCUGGGCCACACCUGACGCUGAGGAGCGAAAGCUAGGGGAGCGAACGGGAUUAGAUACCCUGGUAGUCC
This 292-nucleotide ribosomal RNA is filed under the name uncultured bacterium. RNAcentral describes it as "partial 16S ribosomal RNA". It matches the Rfam family "Bacterial small subunit ribosomal RNA", at positions 505 to 796 of the family's 1533-position model. The record is from RNAcentral.